UCCUGCAUUCGAAAGUGAUUGUGGCCUUUUGCCUGUGGCCUGGUCAUUGAUAGUGCAGGUAGAGAAUUCCUGAAAGCAUUUCCCGUGUUUGGGGGGCUUGUACCUUUUCCUUCCAAACCCUGAGCUUUUCAAACA
Molecule: small nucleolar RNA, 135 nt
Filed under: Salvator merianae (Argentine black and white tegu)
Lineage: Eukaryota; Metazoa; Chordata; Lepidosauria; Squamata; Teiidae
Description: Small nucleolar RNA SNORA71 (ENSSMRG00000000608.1)
Rfam family: Small nucleolar RNA SNORA71
About the family: The members of this family belong to the H/ACA class of snoRNAs which bind a number of proteins (including dyskerin, Gar1p and Nop10p) to form snoRNP complexes. This class of snoRNAs are thought to guide the sites of modification of uridines to pseudouridines by forming direct base pairing interactions with substrate RNAs.
Source: Rfam by way of RNAcentral